GAUGAACGCUGGCGGCGUGCCUAAUACAUGCAAGUCGAGCGAACGGACGAGAAGCUUGCUUCUCUGAUGUUAGCGGCGGACGGGUGAGUAACACGUGGAUAACCCACCUAUAAGACUGGGAUAACUUCGGAAAACCGGAGCUAAUACCGGAUAAUAUUUUGAACCGCAUGGUUCAAAAGUGAAAGACGGUCUUGCUGUCACUUAUAGAUGGAUCCGCGCUGCAUUAGCUAGUUGGUAAGGUAACGGCUUACCAAGGCAACGAUGCAUAGCCGACCUGAGAGGGUGAUCGGCCACACUGGAACUGAGACACGGUCCAGACUCCUACGGGAGGCAGCAGUAGGGAAUCUUCCGCAAUGGGCGAAAGCCUGACGGAGCAACGCCGCGUGAGUGAUGAAGGUCUUCGGAUCGUAAAACUCUGUUAUUAGGGAAGAACAUAUGUGUAAGUAACUGUGCACAUCUUGACGGUACCUAACCAGAAAGCCACGGCUAACUACGUG
This 497-nucleotide ribosomal RNA is filed under the name uncultured bacterium. RNAcentral describes it as "partial 16S ribosomal RNA". It matches the Rfam family "Bacterial small subunit ribosomal RNA", at positions 28 to 507 of the family's 1533-position model. The record is from RNAcentral.